This 701-nucleotide ribosomal RNA is filed under the name uncultured bacterium. RNAcentral describes it as "bacterial SSU rRNA". It matches the Rfam family "Bacterial small subunit ribosomal RNA", at positions 125 to 818 of the family's 1533-position model. The record is from RNAcentral.
UCUGCCUUGUAGUGGGGGAUAACUUGCCGAAAGGUAAGCUAAUACCGCAUACGCCCUAAGGGGGAAAGCAGGGGACUCUUCGGAGCCUUGCGCUAUUAGAUGAGCCUAGGUCGGAUUAGUUAGUUGGUGGGGUAAUGGCUCACCAAGACCGCGAUCCGUAACUGGUCUGAGAGGAUGAUCAGUCACACUGGAACUGAGACACGGUCCAGACUCCUACGGGAGGCAGCAGUGGGGAAUAUUGGACAAUGGGGGGAACCCUGAUCCAGCCAUGCCGCGUGUGUGAAGAAGGUCUUCGGGUUGUAAAGCACUUUAAUUUGGGAGGAAGGGCUUGCGGUUAAUAACCGCUAAGUUUUGACGUUACCAAAAGAAUAAGCACCGGCUAACUUCGUGCCAGCAGCCGCGGUAAUACGAAGGGUGCGAGCGUUAAUCGGAAUUACUGGGCGUAAAGCGCGCGUAGGUGGUUCAUUAAGUUAGGAGUGAAAGCCCCGGGCUCAACCUGGGAAUUGCUUCUAAAACUGGUGAGCUAGAGUACGGUAGAGGGUGGUGGAAUUUCCUGUGUAGCGGUGAAAUGCGUAAAUAUAGGAAGGAACAUCAGUGGCGAAGGCGACCACCUGGACUGAUACUGACACUGAGGUGCGAAAGCGUGGGGAGCAAACAGGAUUAAAUACCCUGGUAGUCCACGCCGUAAACGAUGUCAACUA